GGAGGGUCUGUGGUUCACUGGUAGAGCAUGUGCUUGGCAUAUAGAAGGUCCAAGGUUCGAUCCCCAGCACCUCCA
RNAcentral lists this transfer RNA (75 nucleotides) under Sphaerodactylus townsendi. Its description in RNAcentral is "tRNA-Ala". The record is from RNAcentral. Lineage: Eukaryota; Metazoa; Chordata; Lepidosauria; Squamata; Sphaerodactylidae.